UUUGAGGCCUAAAAGUCAUUCUCAGACAAGACAGAUAAAGAAAAAUCAUUAAGGGAAUCUUUGAUCUUUUUCAAUUCCUUGACUUACACAUUCCACAAUUGAUGAGAUGGGAUGCAUCUAAAUUUCUUGCUAUCACAUUGGUGAAGUCACUCUCUAAAUGUGGAGUAAAGGAGGUUGCGGUGAAAUGGAACAGGUUAUUAACGAAGAGAAAUAAAUUUAUGGAUAUCCUAAAAAACAAAAAGAAAAUACUCAACAGGCACAAUAUAUGGGCUAACGGCUGAAAUUUCAUAUAUAAUGGCAUGGCUAAGAAACUCCAAAAGUUAUAAAGCAUUUAAUUGUUGACAAGCCUAACAAAUCAAAACUGCCAAAUAUUAAAGAAGGUACACAUUAAGAAGGAGAAAACCAGUCAUACAAUAUUCUUUGAUGAAAAAUCAAGAAGUACCUGGACAAAUCUUUUGAUGAACCGAACGCUAGUUUUCUUGACAGUAGCAGCCAACAAAUCAGAGCUAUCACAGCUUGAAAAGAAUGUGUUCCGUUUAUUUCGUGCAAAACAGGUGAUGAUUGAAAGUGGCAGCAGGGUUAGAACUAAUGAUACAAUAUACGGGAGAAAUCAAUAAGUUGUGCUAACAUAGUAUCAGCAAUCUACUUGCAGCAUAUAUCCCAACCUAGUGAUACCAAGAAACCACUGUCAAUAUAAUGUCUCAUCCUAUACAAUUGAUGGGGUUUCUUGAGACUCAUAAGUGAUAAUGGCAUCAUAUCUGUUACAUGUAAUGUCACAACCCAGGAUUAAAAAGGCUUGCCAGAAGGUAUUAUUUGAGUUCCUUGAUCCUGUAUAAGUAGCCAAGAUCUAUCCAGCGAAUAACCGAUGUGGGACUAAACACAUAUCCGCACAGGUCCUCACAUACUCUCUCCAUUCAAAC
Molecule: long non-coding RNA, 920 nt
Filed under: Phoenix dactylifera (date palm)
Lineage: Eukaryota; Viridiplantae; Streptophyta; Magnoliopsida; Arecales; Arecaceae
Description: long non-coding RNA (PDAC_LNC002582)
Source: RNAcentral